This 2087-nucleotide ribosomal RNA is filed under the name human gut metagenome. RNAcentral's name for it is "bacterial LSU rRNA". It matches the Rfam family "Bacterial large subunit ribosomal RNA", at positions 810 to 2925 of the family's 2925-position model. The record is from RNAcentral.
UGUGGAUAGGGGAGAAAUUCCAAUCGAACCCGGAGAUAGCUGGUUCUCCUCGAAAUAGCUUUAGGGCUAGCCUCAUGGAUCAUUGAUGGGGGUAGAGCACUGAAUGUGCGCGGGGGCCACAAAGCCUACCAAACGCUAUCAAACUUCGAAUACCAUACAAUGCAGACCAUGGGAGUCAGUCCGCGAGAGAUAAGUUCCGCGGGCAAAAGGGGAACACCCCAGAUCAACCGCUAAGGUCCCCAAGUUCACGUUAAGUGGAGAAGGAUGUGGAAUUGCACAGACAACCAGGAUGUUGGCUCAGAAGCAGCCACACAUUUAAAGAGUGCGUAAUAGCUCACUGGUCGAGUGAUUGUGCGCCGAAGAUGUCCGGGGCUAAACGUGACACCGAAGCGAUGGGUGCGUCUGAAGAAGAUGCGCGGUAGAGGAGCAAUGUGCAGAGGCAGAAGCCGUAUCGAGAGGCACGGUGGACACUGCACAAGAGAGAAUGCCGGUAUGAGUAGCGAGAGGCAUGCGAGAAACAUGCCCGUCGAAAGCCCAAGGUUUCCUGGGGAAGGUUCAUCCGCCCAGGGUAAGUCGGGGCCUAAGCCGAGGACGGAAGUCGUAGGCGAUGGACAGCAGGUGUAGAUUCCUGCACUACCGAUGGAAUGAAGCAGUGACACAGAAGGAUAACUCGAGCAGGGUGAUGGUCAACCCUGUGCAAGCAUUGAGGUUGGGUUGUAGUGAAGUACGCAAUCCUAUAAGCUGAGAUGUGAUGCGGACCGAAAUUUCAGUAGGGAAGCGAGUGAGUUCACGCUGGCGAGAAAAGCUGCUAGUAUAUCCAAAGGUACCCGUACCGGAAACCGACGCAGGUGGGCGAGGAGAGAAUCCUGAGACGAACGGGAGAACCCUUGUUAAGGAACUCGGCAAAAUGACCCCGUAACUUCGGGAUAAGGGGUGCCUGCGAGAGCAGGCCGCAGAGAAUAGUCACAAGCGACUGUUUAGCAAAAACACAGGUAUCUGCGAAAGCGAGAGCUGACGUAUAGGUGCUGACACCUGCCCGGUGCUGGAAGGUUAAGGGAACAUGUUAGAGCAAUCGAAGCAUCGAACCGAAGCCCCAGUAAACGGCGGCCGUAACUAUAACGGUCCUAAGGUAGCGAAAUUCCUUGUCGGGUAAGUUCCGACCCGCACGAAUGGUGUAACGACUUGUGAGCUGUCUCAACAGGGGGCCCGGUGAAAUUGAAGUAUGGGUGAAGAUGCCCAUUACCCGCGACUGGACGGAAAGACCCCGUAGAGCUUUACUGCAGCCUGAUAUUGAGUUUCGGUAACUGAUGCACAGGAUAGGUGGGAGUCUGAGAGACAUGGGUUUCGGCUCGUGUGGAGACGAUGUUGGGAUACCACUCUUCGGUUACUGAAAUUCUAACAUAGCUCUGUGAAACCAGAGGAUGGACAGUGUCAGGUGGACAGUUUGACUGGGGCGGUCGCCUCCGAAAGAGUAACGGAGGCGCCCAAAGGUACCCUCAGAAUGGAUGGAAACCAUUCGAAGAGCGCAAAGGCAGAAGGGUGCCUGACUGCGAGAUUGACAAAUCGAGCAGAGACGAAAGUCGGGCUUAGUGAUCCGGCGGUAUUGAGUGGAAAAGCCGUCGCUUAACGGAUAAAAGCUACCUCGGGGAUAACAGGCUGAUCUCCCCCAAGAGUCCACAUCGACGGGGAGGUUUGGCACCUCGAUGUCGGCUCGUCGCAUCCUGGGGCUGAAGCAGGUCCCAAGGGUUUGGCUGUUCGCCAAUUAAAGCGGCACGCGAGCUGGGUUCAGAACGUCGUGAGACAGUUCGGUCCCUAUCCAUCGUGGGCGUAGGAGUCAUGAGAGGAGCUGUUCCUAGUACGAGAGGACCGGAAUGGACGCACCACUGGUGCAACUGUUGUCGUGCCAACGGCAUAGCAGGGAAGCGAAGUGCGGAUGGGAUAAACGCUGAAGGCAUCUAAGCGUGAAGCCCACCUCAAGAAUAAGACUCCACAAUAGACCCCUGGAGGACUACCAGGUAGAUAGGUCAUCGGUGGAAGCGCUGUAAGGCGUGUAGCUUGAUGAUACUAAUCGGUCGAAAGCUUCAUUU